This 569-nucleotide ribosomal RNA is filed under the name uncultured eukaryote. RNAcentral describes it as "SSU rRNA". It matches the Rfam family "Eukaryotic small subunit ribosomal RNA", at positions 4 to 569 of the family's 1831-position model. The record is from RNAcentral.
CUGGUUGAUCCUGCCAGUAGUCAUAUGCUUGUCUCAAAGAUUAAGCCAUGCAUGUCUAAGUACAUACCUUAGCACGGUGAAACCGCGAAUGGCUCAUUAAAUCAGUUAUGGUUCCUUAGAUCGUUCUUUUUACAUGGAUAACUGUGGUAAUUCUAGAGCUAAUACAUGCAAAAAGCUCCGACCGUAUGGGAAGAGCGCUUUUAUUAGACCAAAACCAAUGGGGUCGCAAGAUCCCUUUGUCUGGUGACUCUGGAUAACUUUGUGCUGAUCGCAUGGCCUAGAGCCGGCGACGUAUCUUUCAAGUGUCUGCCCUAUCAACUUUCGAUGGUAAGCGAUUUGCCUACCAUGGUUGUAACGGGUAACGGGGAAUCAGGGUUCGAUUCCGGAGAGGGAGCAUGAGAAAUGGCUACCACAUCUACGGAAGGCAGCAGGCGCGCAAAUUACCCACUCCUAGAACGGGGAGGUAGUGACGAAAAAUAACAAUACCGGACUCAAUGAGGCUCGGUAAUUGAAAUGAGUACAGUUUAAAACCCUUAACGAGGAUCUAUUGGAGGGCAAGUCUGGUGCCA